UACGUAGGGGGCUAGCGUUGUCCGGAAUCAUUGGGCGUAAAGAGCGCGUAGGCGGCCAGAUAAGUCUGGUGUGAAAGUCAAAGGCUCAACCUUUGAAUGCCGCUGGAAACUGUCUGGCUAGAGUCCGGGAGGGGCGAGUGGAAUUCCUGGUGUAGCGGUGAAAUGCGCAGAUAUCAGGAGGAACACCAAUGGCGAAGGCAGCACUCUGGGACGUGACUGACGCUGAGACGCGAAAGCGUGGGGAGCAAACAGG
RNAcentral lists this ribosomal RNA (253 nucleotides) under uncultured bacterium. RNAcentral's name for it is "partial 16S ribosomal RNA". It matches the Rfam family "Bacterial small subunit ribosomal RNA", at positions 524 to 776 of the family's 1533-position model. The record is from RNAcentral.